UUAAAUAGUUUAAGAAAAAUCUUGAUUUGUGGAAUCAAAGAUAUAUUUUUUAGUAUUUUAGAUAA
RNAcentral lists this transfer RNA (65 nucleotides) under Sericostoma personatum. Its description in RNAcentral is "tRNA-His". The record is from RNAcentral. Lineage: Eukaryota; Metazoa; Arthropoda; Insecta; Trichoptera; Sericostomatidae.